Molecule: ribosomal RNA, 564 nt
Filed under: uncultured Pseudomonadota bacterium
Lineage: Bacteria; Pseudomonadati; Pseudomonadota
Description: bacterial SSU rRNA
Rfam family: Bacterial small subunit ribosomal RNA
Source: RNAcentral
GCUGGCGGCAUGCUUAACACAUGCAAGUCGAACGGAAACAGGACGCUGGGAUCCCUUCGGGGUGACCUUGUCGCUGUCGAGUGGCGGACGGGUGAGUAAUGCAUAGGAAUUUGCCUCAAAGUGGGGGAUAGCCCGGAGAAAUCCGGAUUAAUACCGCAUGUGCUCCACGGAGGAAAGCGGGCCUCUACUUGUAAGCUCGCGCUUUGAGAUAAGCCUAUGUCGGAUUAGCUUGUUGGUGGGGUAAAAGCCUACCAAGGCGACGAUCCGUAGCUGGUUUGAGAGGAUGAUCAGCCACACCGGGACUGAGACACGGCCCGGACUCCUACGGGAGGCAGCAGUGGGGAAUAUUGGACAAUGGGCGCAAGCCUGAUCCAGCAAUGCCGCGUGUGUGAAGAAGGCCUGCGGGUUGUAAAGCACUUUUAUCGGGAAAGAAAUGCUGAAGGUUAAUACCCUUCGGUCUUGACGGUACCCGAGGAAUAAGCACCGGCUAACUCCGUGCCAGCAGCCGCGGUAAUACGGAGGGUGCAAGCGUUAAUCGGAAUUACUGGGCGUAAAGCGAGUGUA